GUGACCUUAGCUCAGCCGGUCAGAGCGUCGGGUUGUGGCCCCGAAGGUCGAGGGUUCAAGUCCCUCAGGUCACCCCU
RNAcentral lists this transfer RNA (77 nucleotides) under Chloroflexota bacterium. RNAcentral describes it as "Chloroflexi bacterium (sediment metagenome) tRNA-His". It matches the Rfam family "tRNA". From Rfam's summary of the family: Transfer RNA (tRNA) molecules are approximately 80 nucleotides in length. Their secondary structure includes four short double-helical elements and three loops (D, anti-codon, and T loops). Lineage: Bacteria; Bacillati; Chloroflexota. The record is from RNAcentral.